GAUGAACGCUGGCGGCGUGCCUAAUACAUGCAAGUCGAGCGAACAGACGAGGAGCUUGCUCCUCUGACGUUAGCGGCGGACGGGUGAGUAACACGUGGAUAACCUACCUAUAAGACUGGGAUAACUUCGGGAAACCGGAGCUAAUACCGGAUAAUAUAUUGAACCGCAUGGUUCAAUAGUGAAAGACGGUUUUGCUGUCACUUAUAGAUGGAUCCGCGCCGCAUUAGCUAGUUGGUAAGGUAACGGCUUACCAAGGCAACGAUGCGUAGCCGACCUGAGAGGGUGAUCGGCCACACUGGAACUGAGACACGGUCCAGACUCCUACGGGAGGCAGCAGUAGGGAAUCUUCCGCAAUGGGCGAAAGCCUGACGGAGCAACGCCGCGGGAGUGAUGAAGGUCUUCGGAUCGUAAAACGCUGUUAUUAGGGAAGAACAAAUGUGUAAGUAACUAUGCACGUCUUGACGGUACCUAAUCAGAAAGCCACGGCUAACUACGU
Molecule: ribosomal RNA, 496 nt
Filed under: uncultured bacterium
Lineage: Bacteria
Description: partial 16S ribosomal RNA
Rfam family: Bacterial small subunit ribosomal RNA
Source: RNAcentral